RNAcentral lists this transfer RNA (62 nucleotides) under Mactra alta. Its description in RNAcentral is "tRNA-Asp". Lineage: Eukaryota; Metazoa; Mollusca; Bivalvia; Venerida; Mactridae. The record is from RNAcentral.
ACAAAGAUAGUUUAAUUAGAAUGUAAAAUUGUCGAUUUUGUGGUGCCUCUUGGUUCUUUGUU